GGGGGUAUAGCUCAGAUGGUAGAGCGCUUGGUUCGCAUUCAAGAGGUCAGGGGUUCGAUUCCCCUUAUCUCCACCA
This 76-nucleotide transfer RNA is filed under the name Ruminococcus sp. Its description in RNAcentral is "tRNA-Ala". It matches the Rfam family "tRNA". Rfam says of the family: Transfer RNA (tRNA) molecules are approximately 80 nucleotides in length. Their secondary structure includes four short double-helical elements and three loops (D, anti-codon, and T loops). RNAcentral also lists the same sequence under 3 other names. Lineage: Bacteria; Bacillati; Bacillota; Clostridia; Eubacteriales; Oscillospiraceae. The record is from RNAcentral.